UAGCCAAGGAUGACUUGCCUA
This 21-nucleotide microRNA is filed under the name Theobroma cacao (cacao). The record is from RNAcentral. RNAcentral also lists the same sequence under 15 other names. Lineage: Eukaryota; Viridiplantae; Streptophyta; Magnoliopsida; Malvales; Malvaceae.